Molecule: non-coding RNA, 25 nt
Filed under: Mus musculus (house mouse)
Lineage: Eukaryota; Metazoa; Chordata; Mammalia; Rodentia; Muridae
Source: RNAcentral
UAACUGAGAGCCUCAUUAGCGUGCA